AGGGCGCACGGUGGAUGCCUUGGCACUAGAAGCCGAUGAAGGACGUGACUAACGACGAAAUGCUUUGGGGAGCUGUAAGUGAGCAAUGAUCCAGAGAUGUCCGAAUGGGGGAACCCGGCAGGUAAUGCCUGUCACUCAUUACUGUUAAGGUAAUGUAGAGGAAGACGCAGUGAACUGAAACAUCUAAGUAGCUGUAGGAAGAGAAAGCAAAAGCGAUUGCCUUAGUAGCGGCGAGCGAAACGGCAAGAGGGCAAACCGAAGAGUUUACUCUUCGGGGUUGUAGGACUGCAACGUGGACUUAAAGAUUAUAGAAGAACUACCUGGGAAGGUAGGCCAAAGAGAGUAAUAGCCUCGUAUUCGAAAUAGUCUUUAUACCUAGCAGUAUCCUGAGUACGGCGAGACACGAGAAAUCUCGUCGGAAUCUGGGAGGACCAUCUCCCAACCCUAAAUACUCUCUAGUGACCGAUAGUGAACCAGUACCGUGAGGGAAAGGUGAAAAGCACCCCGGGAGGGGAGUGAAAUAGAACCUGAAACCGUGUGCCUACAACAAGUUCGAGCCCGUUAAUGGGUGAGAGCGUGCCUUUUGUAGAAUGAACCGGCGAGUUACGAUAUGAUGCGAGGUUAAGUUGAAGAGACGGAGCCGUAGGGAAACCGAGUCUUAAUAGGGCGCAUUAGUAUCAUGUCGUAGACCCGAAACCAUGUGACCUACCCAUGAGCAGGUUGAAGGUGAGGUAAAACUCACUGGAGGACCGAACCAGGGCACGUUGAAAAGUGCUUGGAUGACUUGUGGGUAGCGGAGAAAUUCCAAACGAACUUGGAGAUAGCUGGUUCUCUCCGAAAUAGCUUUAGGGCUAGCGUCGAUGUUAAGUCUCUUGGAGGUAGAGCACUGUUUGGGUGAGGGGUCCAUCCCGGAUUACCAAUCUCAGAUAAACUCCGAAUGCCAAUGAGAUAUAAUCGGCAGUCAGACUGCGAGUGCUAAGAUCCGUAGUCGAAAGGGAAACAGCCCAGACCACCAGCUAAGGUCCCAAAAUAUAUGUUAAGUGGAAAAGGAUGUGGGGUUGCACAGACAACUAGGAUGUUAGCUUAGAAGCAGCUAUUCAUUCAAAGAGUGCGUAAUAGCUCACUAGUCGAGUGACCCUGCGCCGAAAAUGUACCGGGGCUAAAACAUAUUACCGAAGCUGUGGAUACCUUUAUAGGUAUGGUAGGAGAGCGUUCUAUGUGCGAAGAAGGUGUACCGUGAGGAGUGCUGGAGCGCAUAGAAGUGAGAAUGCCGGUAUGAGUAGCGAAAGACAGGUGAGAAUCCUGUCCACCGUAAGACUAAGGUUUCCAGGGGAAGGCUCGUCCGCCCUGGGUUAGUCGGGACCUAAGGAGAGACCGAAAGGUGUAUCCGAUGGACAACAGGUUGAUAUUCCUGUACUAGAGUAUAUAGUGAUGGAGGGACGCAGUAGGCUAACUAAACCAGACGAUUGGAAGUGUCUGGCCAAGCAGUGAGGUGUGAUAUGAGUCAAAUGCUUAUAUCUUUAACAUUGAGCUGUGAUGGGGAGCGAAGUUUAGUAGCGAAGUUAGUGAUGUCACACUGCCGAGAAAAGCUUCUAGCGUUAAUUAUACUCUACCCGUACCGCAAACCGACACAGGUAGUCGAGGCGAGUAGCCUCAGGUGAGCGAGAGAACUCUCGUUAAGGAACUCGGCAAAAUGGCCCCGUAACUUCGGGAGAAGGGGCGCUGACUGAUGGUCAGCCGCAGUGAAUAGGCCCAAGCAACUGUUUAUCAAAAACACAGCUCUCUGCUAAAUCGUAAGAUGAUGUAUAGGGGGUGACGCCUGCCCGGUGCUGGAAGGUUAAGAGGAGUGCUUAGCGUAAGCGAAGGCAUGAAUUGAAGCCCCAGUAAACGGCGGCCGUAACUAUAACGGUCCUAAGGUAGCGAAAUUCCUUGUCGGGUAAGUUCCGACCCGCACGAAAGGCGUAAUGAUUUGGGCACUGUCUCAACGAGAGACUCGGUGAAAUUUUAGUACCUGUGAAGAUGCAGGUUACCCGCGACAGGACGGAAAGACCCCAUGGAGCUUUACUGCAGUUUGAUAUUGAGUAUCUGUACCACAUGUACAGGAUAGGUAGGAGCCUAUGACCUCGGGACGCCAGUUUCGAGUGAGGCGUUGUUGGGAUACUACCCUUGUGUUAUGGCUACUCUAACCCAGAUAGGUUAUCCCUAUCGGAGACAGUGUCUGACGGGCAGUUUGACUGGGGCGGUCGCCUCCUAAAAGGUAACGGAGGCGCCCAAAGGUUCCCUCAGAAUGGUUGGAAAUCAUUCGCAGAGUGUAAAGGUAUAAGGGAGCUUGACUGCGAGAGCUACAACUCGAGCAGGGACGAAAGUCGGGCUUAGUGAUCCGGUGGUUCCGUAUGGAAGGGCCAUCGCUCAACGGAUAAAAGCUACCCUGGGGAUAACAGGCUUAUCUCCCCCAAGAGUUCACAUCGACGGGGAGGUUUGGCACCUCGAUGUCGGCUCGUCGCAUCCUGGGGCUGUAGUCGGUCCCAAGGGUUGGGCUGUUCGCCCAUUAAAGCGGCACGCGAGCUGGGUUCAGAACGUCGUGAGACAGUUCGGUCCCUAUCCGUCGCGGGCGUAGGAAAUUUGAGAGGAUCUGCUCCUAGUACGAGAGGACCAGAGUGGACUUACCGCUGGUGUACCAGUUGUUCUGCCAAGAGCAUCGCUGGGUAGCUAUGUAGGGAAGGGAUAAACGCUGAAAGCAUCUAAGUGUGAAGCCCACCUCAAGAUGAGAUUUCCCAUGAUUUU
Molecule: ribosomal RNA, 2784 nt
Filed under: Streptococcus thermophilus
Lineage: Bacteria; Bacillati; Bacillota; Bacilli; Lactobacillales; Streptococcaceae
Also listed under: 1 other name
Description: bacterial LSU rRNA
Rfam family: Bacterial large subunit ribosomal RNA
Source: RNAcentral